This 465-nucleotide ribosomal RNA is filed under the name Vreelandella stevensii. RNAcentral describes it as "partial 16S ribosomal RNA". It matches the Rfam family "Bacterial small subunit ribosomal RNA", at positions 338 to 795 of the family's 1533-position model. The record is from RNAcentral. Lineage: Bacteria; Pseudomonadati; Pseudomonadota; Gammaproteobacteria; Oceanospirillales; Halomonadaceae.
CCUACGUGUGGCUGCAGUGGGGAAUAUUGGACAAUGGGGGCAACCCUGAUCCAGCCAUGCCGCGUGUGUGAAGAAGGCCCUCGGGUUGUAAAGCACUUUCAGUGAGGAAGAACGCCUGGUGGUUAAUACCCAUCAGGAAAGACAUCACUCACAGAAGAAGCACCGGCUAACUCCGUGCCAGCAGCCGCGGUAAUACGGAGGGUGCGAGCGUUAAUCGGAAUUACUGGGCGUAAAGCGCGCGUAGGUGGCUUGAUAAGCCGGUUGUGAAAGCCCCGGGCUCAACCUGGGAACGGCAUCCGGAACUGUCAAGCUAGAGUGCAGGAGAGGAAGGUAGAAUUCCCGGUGUAGCGGUGAAAUGCGUAGAGAUCGGGAGGAAUACCAGUGGCGAAGGCGGCCUUCUGGACUGACACUGACACUGAGGUGCGAAAGCGUGGGUAGCAAACAGGAUUAGAUACCCGAGUAGUC